AGCGAACGCUGGCGGCAGGCCUAACACAUGCAAGUCGAACGAACCUUUCGGGGUUAGUGGCGGACGGGUGAGUAACACGUGGGAACGUGCCUUUAGGUUCGGAAUAACUCAGGGAAACUUGUGCUAAUACCGAAUGUGCCCUUCGGGGGAAAGAUUUAUCGCCUUUAGAGCGGCCCGCGUCUGAUUAGCUAGUUGGUUGAGGUAAUGGCUCCCCAAGGCGACGAUCAGUAGCUGGUCUGAGAGGAUGAUCAGCCACAUUGGGACUGAGACACAGCCCAAACUCCUACGGGAGGCAGCAGUGGGGAAUCUUGCGAAAUGGGCGAAAGCCUGACGCAGCCAUGCCGCGUGAAUGAUGAAGGUCUUAGGAUUGUAAAAUUCUUUCACCGGGGACGAUAAUGACGGUACCCGGAGAAGAAGCCCCGGCUAACUUCGUG
Molecule: ribosomal RNA, 434 nt
Filed under: uncultured bacterium
Lineage: Bacteria
Description: partial 16S ribosomal RNA
Rfam family: Bacterial small subunit ribosomal RNA
Source: RNAcentral